CCCGCCUCCCGCCAGUCUGUGUAGAUGAGGAUUAAGUCUGUGUCUCACGUGAAAAGAUGCUCAGCCUCACUCAAUAAAAUACAUGACCACAGGGUGGGGGUCCGGGUUUCACCUGUCAGGCAAGCGACAACCCCCAUGUCUGAAAGCAUCUGUUGGCCACAGGAGUGUAAAUUAGUUCCGGCUCUUAAGAAGGCAGCGCCAGCCUGGUGCUGUUGGCUCCGAUCCACGGCCUGCCUCCCCCUGGGGAGGGACUGGCCCCGCAGGCAGCAUUUCCCAAACCCGUGGGCCACUGGCUUGGGGUGGGCUUGGCCGGUGGGGCCUCAGGUGGGAGGUUGGCAGGAGGAGGGAGAACCCAGGUUCUCUCGCCUCGGUUCUGCCUCAGAGCCCCUCCUUUGCUCGGUCUCCUUUGGCUCCAGCUCGUGCGGCCAGUUGACCGAGGCCCUGAGCUUUGAAAAUACCUCCUCCCUCUGACCCUCCAACUUAGCGGUGGUCAGGGCGUCCAGCUCUUGCUCAUGUGUGCAUUCCUUACCAUUUCCAGUUUCACUCCCAGCUUCUCCGUCAUGCGCGCAACCAGUUCCUUGUAUGACAUUCCCUUAUUUCAGCUGCUCAGAGGAAUUGUGUUUCUGUGGGUGAAUCCCAUCAAUAAAGGGGCAUCGGACAGCAGCUUUUAAAGUGGCAGACAGACGUAUAAAUCCUUUGACCCAGCCAAGCCAGGUCUAGGAAUUUAACCUGCAGGUAUAUGUGUAUGUGUGUGAGAUACCACAGGUACGAGAUGAUUCCCUGCCUUGUUGGUGACAGUAAACGGUGGGAAGUGACUGGAGGGCCCCCCAGGACACUGGCUGGAUAACCCUUCCUGUGCACAGGUGGGGAGCUUGUGGAAAGGAGCCAGAGGCUUCGUAUGGAUUUAUUAGAGUUAGAGAAGCCAAGUGUGGGAAAAUGUCCAGGGUGUGCUACCAUUUCCGUGUGUGUGUGUGUGAAAGAGAGAGGAGAGAGGGGAAGUGCAUGCAAAUUCUCGGGAAGGCUAUACAAGGAACUAAUAACAGGGUUACUUGCUGGGGAGGGUGAUGGGAACUGGGCAGGUGGGAGUGUGGGUGCAGAGGAAACUUCUCGCUCUGUGUUUUAAAUUUUUUUGAAAUAGAAAGAAGUUGAAGUCUGCCUUUACUUUUCCCCAAGUGGGCAAACCGUUUCACGGAGCAGCAGUAACUGUCUUCAUCCAGAUGUCUGGCACCGUGCAGACAGGGCCUGGCCACAGCCUCAGACCCGCUUCCAUGGGAACAUGUCAUGUUCUCCGUUUGUUUUGGACGGCAGUUUCCUUCUUGUGUGGACAGAUACAUAUGAAACACAUGCUCUCCGCGUGGAGUUUGUGGUCCUCUGAGAAUUCUCUGGAGGAGGAAAUGGGUUGACCUAUUUGGUUGCUAUGAAGUAAAAACAAUCUUGUUUUCAUUUUUCAGUGAACAUCUGGGUUGCAUUUAUUAUUUUACAUUCUAGAGGUUCUUUUUAAAGCCACAAUUUGAUAAUGUGAGGGUUCAUUAAAGCAGUAACUAGCUGUUUCUGUAAUUAAAUUAAGUGCUAGGGUGGCUGGUAGUUUUAAAAA
Myotis lucifugus (little brown bat) is the source of this 1594-nucleotide long non-coding RNA. RefSeq lists it as uncharacterized. The transcript has 2 exons. The record is from RefSeq and is a predicted model, not a curated record. Lineage: Eukaryota; Metazoa; Chordata; Mammalia; Chiroptera; Vespertilionidae.